Molecule: non-coding RNA, 81 nt
Filed under: Pseudomonas sp. WPR_5_2
Lineage: Bacteria; Pseudomonadati; Pseudomonadota; Gammaproteobacteria; Pseudomonadales; Pseudomonadaceae
Source: RNAcentral
UUUAGGAGCGAGCCUGCUCGCGAUGGCGGCUACACAUUCAACAUAGGUGUCACCGCUAUCGCGAGCAGGCUCGCUCCCACA